Molecule: ribosomal RNA, 5664 nt
Filed under: Triticum aestivum (bread wheat)
Lineage: Eukaryota; Viridiplantae; Streptophyta; Magnoliopsida; Poales; Poaceae
Description: partial small subunit ribosomal RNA
Rfam family: Small nucleolar RNA U83 (bases 3585-3662)
Source: RNAcentral
CCAAUGUCCAUGGUCAGGAAACCGUAACCAUCUGUUGAUCAACGAGCUAGUCAACUAGAGGCUUACUAGGGACAUGGUGUUGUCUAUGUACCCACACAUGUAUCUGAGUUUUCUUUGAAUACAAUUAUAGCAUGGAUAAUAAACGAUUAUCAUAAACAAGGAAAUAUAAUAAUAACUAAUUUAUUAUUGCCUCUAGGGCAUAUUUCCAACAUUUUUUCCACAUAUUCGGUGGUACAUAAACGUUCAAAAAGUUAGUCUAAGUUAUUAUCCGGGAUUGAUGUGCUAUCUUAGUUUGUAUUGUUAUGUUGGAAAAUUGGAAUACAUUGAUAGCAUGUGUUUUUCUAUUACUUAUUGUUACAAGAAUUUAUAUUGACUGUAAUGGUGUUGAGCUGUGAUUGAAAACAUCUAGCAAAAUAUGUUCCAUUUAUUUGCUGGGUGUUGGUUCUUCAGCAACACACCACAGUAUUUCAUUGAUUUGGUUGAUGCUUGUUUGGUUGAUGCUGGUAUAAUAGGUAGUUGCAUGCAUUUAUUUAUCAUGCUACCACUAGACUGCCUGAUAAAAACUUGCUGAAUAUAUAUAUCUUUGACUAGCAACUGAUGGAAUAUAGCUCAUGUUCAUGUAAAUUCCCAUCCCACUCAAAGUGUGAAACACUUAUUCUUCUUCUUUGUACUCAACAUCCAGGCAUCACACCUGAAUAUAUAUAUGCACAUAUUUAUGUAUGUAGUUAUCUGUCACACGCAUGAAGCAGUCUUGUUUGUUUUGGGAUGUAGUAUCACCACUUAAUUUGUUCCCUGUCUGCCUCCUUCCUAAAAUUCUGACUGUAUAUAUAUGGUAUGUGUACCAUCCAUGAUAUGCACUUGCUCCUGAUCUCAUGUUGGUCUUGUUUUUAUUUCAUGGCUUCCUAUUCGUGUAGUUCCAAUGUCAUUGGGUCUUGUUUGUAGAAUGAUGAGUCACGCCGCAGUUGAAAGUGGGCAUAAGUGGGACCGAUUGAGCCCAUCCCACUUAAUCAUCUUAGUGGGCACCCUUUGGACAACAGAAAAAAAAUAAGUGGGCUAUUCCAUUUAGCCCUCUGGGAGCCCAAUCUACAUAGUUUUCUCAAGUAAAAAAGGAAAACGAAUUACGGCGCCGCUUUCACGGGAUAGGGUUCGAUCCGCGCCCCUCUAGUUUGCCUGCAGGUGGCGCAAUGCUCCUCCUCUCGCCUCUCUUCUCCCUCGCCUUGUACGACGGAGAACUGACCACCGAGGUAACCCUGCCUCCUGCUCCGUCCUUCCCCUCUCCUCUCAUCCAAUGACCUUAUUCGUGGGCACCUUGGACAUAGGAUGAAGGAAGGGAGUGAUCGUCAGAUAGGAGAGAUGGGACCAUUUCCUCUAUCUCUACGAUAAAAUCAUCUGAGAGAGAGAGGAGCUUCGGGCUUAUUACAGUUUCAGAGUUGUACUGUACCACCUCAGUGGUGACUGUACCGUCGACAUGCCUUGACAGUUUCAGUCUUUCAGAGCUUUGGGCUUUAACAACAACCUAUUUCGUUACCUUGAUUAAACUUCUUGUUGACUUCCAUUUCUUUCCCUUAGCAUGUGAAUGCCUCUCUGUUUCCUGGAAGAUCAAUGCUUUUGUUUCAUUUUGCUCGAGUGUUUGUUGUGUUCAGCUCAGCUCAGCUCCUUGCCAUUUUCAUUCAACCAAGAAAGGAAUAAGGAAUCCUUGAUGUUUUUUGUAUACUGCUUUUGCCACAUCUUUCCUGGUUAAUUCUAGCUUGUUGCCUUGUUCUGUGAAUUAAUUCAUGCUACAUUUGUUUGGAUAGACUAGUAUUUAUAAGGUCAAGGGCCUGUGCUGGAGACUUUAUUCAAGUUUCUUUGAUGUUAACUGCUUGCACACCAAUAUCCUUAUAUACAAUUGUUUUUUAUGUAUAGGGUAAGAACAUGAUUUCAACGAUAGAGUAUGAUAAGUUACAACAAGUGCAUAAUUACAGACUUAUUUAUGUGUGCAAAAAUGGUGAAACCCCUUGCCGCAUUAUACCGGCAAUCUAUGGUUUAUUUUUUUUUAAUAGUAGCCUACUGAAAGUUUUUAAAAGAAAAAUAAGGGCUUAUGUUUUUCCAGCCCAACCAACUGGAGAUGUACAAAAGUACCAAUGUCCAAUGAGAAGCCGAACGAACACGUGUAGAAGUCUAGAUGUAGGCUGCUAGUGUUAAUGAGGUCCUUCCAAGUUUGUUUCUAGAAUAGUAGUACCCUUUAUUACUAUGUAUAAAAUAGAGAAAAAAACUUCUUGUCAAUACACACCUGAUCCCAUUUUUUCUGUAGUAGUCAGUGUUAGAUUCCAUCGCAAUGUUUUGAAACAUUUAAUUUCACACAAGUCAUCCCUUUCGUCUGUUGACUAUUUUGUUUCUUCCAAAAAGCUUCCUCUUUUGAUUUCUGACAAAGAUGUCUUAGCAAAACGAUAGCCAGUUGUUUCGGUGUUGGACAAAGAUGUGUGUUUAUGCAUGGUUUUGAUUCGAUUGCUUGCACAUAUCAAAGACUUUCUAGCAUCAUUAUCCAAAGGCAUUUUGAGCUCAGUGUUUGUGCCAAGUCAAAUAUGCUCAUCUCCUCGCCUUGUCAUUUCCAGCAGUGCUACCUUGGAGAUCAUGCAAGGAUCAUGAACAUGCUUAAUUUUUCAUUUUGACGUUGUCGGUUCGUUCGUUCUUUGCCCCAUGCUUGACAAAUAUGAAGGAUUUAUAGUUUUGCUAGUGCUAAUAGAUUUUAGUUGUUUUUCAGGUCAUGUCAUGGUAGUAGUUUAGUAGUACAUAGAUCAAAUAUAUAGAGAGAGCUAGUAUCUUAUAAUGCUUAGACAAACUAUAUUCAUUCUCUCAAUUGUUAAGUUGAAAAUACAUGAAGAUAUGUGUUAUGACUGAACUAUUGUGUGGAUGGGCUGGUGUGGGAUAUAUACUACAUUGUCCUGCUCCUCUGUACUCUUGUUGUGGGCAGCUGCUGAUCCUUUGUUUGUUUGAUUUUUUUUUGUAUGUUUGGAGUGAUCAUUGAGCAACUUGGCCAAGAACUCGCCCAACCUGAGGGUGGCCCACAUCAUAAUCAAAGAAGAUGGUGGUGGAUGAGACCGGUGCUGCUUUUGUGAUGAGCAAAACAAAAACUUGGUGGUCGCCGGCCGUGGCCUCCUGCGCGUGCGCAGCCGUAGUCUUGGCUAGUGGCCUCGGCUACAACUUGCAAAGGGAGCCCGUCCCUCUUCCUCCUCUGGUUCUCCCCCCUUGCUCUGAGCACAUGGACAUCGAGCCAUGGCUAUUUUACACCAGGUUUAAUGUCCAUGUCUGGUUAUGGUUUGGACUGGUGGUACAGUCAUGGCAUAAUGACUCCAGGUUAUGCUUGGAUGGAUUUAAUCUUUCUAAAAUAUGAGAUUUUUUGUAAAGAGCUAGUCUUGUAGGGUUUCAAUUGUCUAAAGAUUGUGGUUUUUAGAAGAUUGUUACCUUUCUGGUUUUAUGGCUGAUGUGGUCAGUAGAGAUCCAUGCGUGUUGUAUUUCCUAGUGGUGAUAUGAUGAACUAUAGAUUUGGAAGUUUGCUUUGUACAACUGCACUAUAGAGUUGGAUGUUUUUCGUGGUUGCGUGAUGUCGAUGAUGAUUACUGUGAAGCUUUCUCAAUGUAAUCACUAAUGAUUGCAUAACCUACUGCUUUCCUUCUGAGGCAUAAUGUCCCUCUCAAUUCUUCUCUCUUGAAAUAGUGGUUUUGCGUGAUCCCUUGUGACAGAAAUUAUUCAGACUUCAAGAUGCAAAGGUAAAACAAUUUUUGAUGCUGCUGUUUAGGUUAGAUAGUCACACUUUUAUUUCUGUCAAUUGCAUGGCAUGGUAUCUAGACUAGGUGUCCUUGAUGUUCUCAAUAUAUUCAUGCCUUUUUAUACCUUGAAUGAUCCAUCAGCAUCCUGUAAAGACUAGUCUCAUUGAUGGUAAUAUUUAUAAGUAUACAUGUUAUCAGAACACACAAAAUGAACCCUGUAUUGCUUUGUUCAUUUCAAUUUCGUGUAUUGUGCUAUUGUUUUACUCCGAGUUGGCCUGAUCCGGUUUUUUCCACAAAUGCAGGUGCCAUUGUUGUUGAUUCCAUUGUUCAUGGCCAUCUGAAAAGCUAAGGAACUGUUCAAACCUUGAAAUAAACUUGAACACCCUGCAGUUGUGUAAUUGAGGAGCCCCAUGACAUCAACAAGAAUGACGACGAUGAUGCGGAGGAGGAGGACCUCAACUACACACCACACAAAGUCCCUAUUGUUUGUCGGCAAUGGCUUCCUUGCCUGCAGCAGACCUGGACCCCAUGCCCAAGCUCACGAGGUCACCGUUGAGUCCGACCUCCACCUCGAUCAUGACGACGACGACCCGCACAAGGUCGAUCCCUACUUUACCACAAAUAUGUUCUUUCUUUUGUGAAGUAACAGUUCCUUGCUUUGUGUAAUGUUAAGAAACUGUUUGUUGAGACAACAAUUAUUCUCUCCCGGCUACAGGAACUGUUUAUAUGCAUUUGCUUAGGCUUGGAGCAUAACUCAUAAAUCAGUUACCUGUUUUGCGUAUCCUAUGAAUUUGAGCCUUAUCUGUUUGCUAUUUCUCCAUCUCAAAUCUCCAUCAGUAAGCUAAAAAAAGACUAGCUAGCUAAUCCUCUGUAAUUAGCUUGCUUCCCCCAUCUCACGCUGAAACCCUAGCUCUUCCCUUGGUGACGGAGAGGCUCACAUCAUGGAUCCUCUCCUCGAAGACAUCAACGGCCAAGGAAGGAGAAGCUGCUGCAUAGGUGCCAUCCUGUAGCCAUGGACGGCACUCAUAGCAUGUGCGAAGUCUGCUCCUUCCCCGCAUGGCUAGUUAGCACUUCUCCCGCCCAUGGAAGCAGCAGGCACCCUCCGCCGAUGACCUGGACCCCAUGCCCAAGCUGACGAGGAGGACAUCGUCGAGUCUGACGUCCACCUCGACCAUGAUGACGCCCCGCACAAGUUCAACUACUUGGUCGGUUGCCACUACUCUCUGCCUGAUGACCGGUUAUGGGCGAUCGGCAGAACAAGUGAGUUGACACUAGGUUACUUCCCUGUAAAAAACGAUCCCGCCGGAGGGCGGAGGCUGUCCUGGAAGGAGGCCACACAUGAGUUAUGAGGACCAUAUGCCUAGGUGGAAGCAGUCUUGAGAACCUUGGCCAAAACAAGGAAGUUUGAGAAGGCUAGUGGUAUGAGGAACAACCAUGGCUUCAAGGUUUAACUCAUGUAUGUGUACCAUCCAUGAUAUGCACUUACAUCCGGAUCUCUGUUGGUCUAUGCUUGUAGUUCCGACUUGAGCGGUAUGCCGUUUCCCAUCACACACAUGGAGCGGUCUUGUUCUUUUUGUUAUAUGUUGUGUAUGCUCGCCUCAUUCCUGAAAUUCCAACUACAUAUAUGUGGUCUGUGUACCAUCCAUGAUAUGCACUUACAUCCGGAUCUCAUGCUGAUCUUGUGUUUGUUUCCAAUGAUGCCCUCCUACUCUUGGGAGACCCUUUGUCGCCUACAUUGAUCGUGGUUGUUGUUUAUCAUAUUAAGAAAAUUGGUUUGUCAUGUGCCCUCAAAACAACUUGAUGAUAUGUAUGCAUCUUUUUAUGUCCAAACAGACUUUCCAUCAGAGAGACAUCUUUUUAUGUCCGAACUGACUCGACGGUCCUUUUGGAUUGCCAAAGGAGAUGAAUGAUUGGG